RNAcentral lists this unclassified non-coding RNA (2180 nucleotides) under uncultured Synechococcus sp. RNAcentral's name for it is "bacterial SSU rRNA". The stretch from base 1 to 1323 matches the Rfam family "Bacterial small subunit ribosomal RNA", at positions 191 to 1533 of the family's 1533-position model. The record is from RNAcentral. Lineage: Bacteria; Bacillati; Cyanobacteriota; Cyanophyceae; Synechococcales; Synechococcaceae.
GCCGAGAGGUGAAAUGAAUUUCGCCUGAGGAUGAGCUCGCGUCUGAUUAGCUAGUUGGUGAGGUAAUGGCUCACCAAGGCUUCGAUCAGUAGCUGGUCUGAGAGGAUGAUCAGCCACACUGGGACUGAGACACGGCCCAGACUCCUACGGGAGGCAGCAGUGGGGAAUUUUCCGCAAUGGGCGAAAGCCUGACGGAGCAACGCCGCGUGAGGGAUGAAGGCCUCUGGGCUGUAAACCUCUUUUAUCAAGGAAGAAGAUCUGACGGUACUUGAUGAAUAAGCCACGGCUAAUUCCGUGCCAGCAGCCGCGGUAAUACGGGAGUGGCAAGCGUUAUCCGGAAUUAUUGGGCGUAAAGCGUCCGCAGGCGGUUUUGAAAGUCUGUUGUUAAAGCGUGGAGCUUAACUCCAUUUCAGCAAUGGAAACUACAAGACUAGAGUGUGGUAGGGGCAGAGGGAAUUCCCGGUGUAGCGGUGAAAUGCGUAGAUAUCGGGAAGAACACCAGUGGCGAAGGCGCUCUGCUGGGCCAUAACUGACGCUCAUGGACGAAAGCCAGGGGAGCGAAAGGGAUUAGAUACCCCUGUAGUCCUGACCGUAAACGAUGAACACUAGGUGUCGGGGGAAUCGACCCCCUCGGUGUCGUAGCCAACGCGUUAAGUGUUCCGCCUGGGGAGUACGCACGCAAGUGUGAAACUCAAAGGAAUUGACGGGGGCCCGCACAAGCGGUGGAGUAUGUGGUUUAAUUCGAUGCAACGCGAAGAACCUUACCAGGGUUUGACAUCCUGCGAAUCCCUUGGAAACUUGGGAGUGCCUUCGGGAGCGCAGUGACAGGUGGUGCAUGGCUGUCGUCAGCUCGUGUCGUGAGAUGUUGGGUUAAGUCCCGCAACGAGCGCAACCCACGUCUUUAGUUGCCAGCAUUUAGUUGGGCACUCUAGAGAGACUGCCGGUGAUAAACCGGAGGAAGGUGUGGAUGACGUCAAGUCAUCAUGCCCCUUACAUCCUGGGCUACACACGUACUACAAUGCUACGGACAAAGGGCAGCAAACUCGCGAGAGCUAGCAAAUCCCAUAAACCGUGGCUCAGUUCAGAUCGUAGGCUGCAACUCGCCUACGUGAAGGAGGAAUCGCUAGUAAUCGCAGGUCAGCAUACUGCGGUGAAUACGUUCCCGGGCCUUGUACACACCGCCCGUCACACCAUGGAAGUUGGCCACGCCCGAAGUCGUUACUCCAACCCUUGUGGAGGAGGAUGCCGAAGGUGGGGCUGAUGACUGGGGUGAAGUCGUAACAAGGUAGCCGUACCGGAAGGUGCGGCUGGAUCACCUCCUAACAGGGAGACAAUACCUGAUCGUGAUGUCUGAGUAUUUUUAUUCUUAGACCAUGAUCCUGUCAUCUCGAAGGUCGAUCGGUACCUCAACUUGAGGGUAAGAGAAAAGCUGAGCAAUCAGUUUAGAGACUUGCCAUUCAAUUUCAGUUCCUAAACUUUGUCUAGGUCACCCCACAGGGUCGUUAGUUUAACUCGAAGCAUUUUGCUUUGAGAUUAAAUAAGACGUUACUGAGCGGUAGCAACUCCUGGGCCAUUAGCUCAGGUGGUUAGAGCGCACCCCUGAUAAGGGUGAGGUCCCUGGUUCAAGUCCAGGAUGGCCCAUUCACCGCCUGCUGAGCAGGCAGGACUACAUGGCUGGGGGUUUAGCUCAGUUGGUAGAGCGCCUGCUUUGCAAGCAGGAUGUCAGCGGUUCGAGUCCGCUAACCUCCAUCCAAUGUUGAGGCUCUGCUCUCGGACCAUGCCUCGGACCAUGCAUGCUUUUAAAGGAUGCUAGGAAAGAGUUUGGAGUUUUACUGUUGUGUUGAUCUAGAUGGUUGUUUGCUGAAGAUUUCAGCUUCUUUUCAUUCUUGUCUAGUCAAGAUCUAAUCAAAAAUCUGAUCAAGAUCCAAUCAAGACUGGUUGAAAGGACGCUGAAUUCAACGCUGCCCUGGGAACAGGGCAGUUUGAAUGUCAGCAGAACCUUGACAACUGCAUAGUUGAAGUCUGGAAAUAAAGCAUCUCAUGGAUGCUUGAUUCAGGUCUUAAGUCGAAUCCAGUAAUGGAUUUGAUUUGGGAUGUGAGUCAAGAAAAUUCUAUUGAGUUUUUAGAGCCGAGAGCUUCCAGUUUUCUUGUUUGUCCGCCGAGGGCAAACGAGUUUGAUC